GCGAGGGUUCCUUUGAACGGUUCUUAAUUCCAGGCUGUCAUAUGCACCUGCCACCGCUUUUCGUCAAGAAACAGAAACCGCAACAGGGUGUCGCAGUAAUAAUCUUUCAGAAAGCGGGCAGUUUUAUGCCUGAUAUUACACCACGCUUUCGGUUUGGAAAAUAAAAAAGGCGGCCAGAGGCCGCCUUUUGA
This is a small RNA of Brucella melitensis, 191 nucleotides long. It matches the Rfam family "Brucella sRNA CI337". NCBI's taxonomy places the organism in Bacteria, Pseudomonadati, Pseudomonadota, Alphaproteobacteria, Hyphomicrobiales, Brucellaceae. The record is from Rfam.